GUAAAUGUUAGAUAAAAGAUAAAUACUGAAAAAAGAGCACUCAAAACAUUGUCAAGACCUACCCAUCUUUCAAUUUCAAGUUAAAUCACUCCCUCUCUCCCCCACAUACUUCCACAUUUUCAAACAUAAAUUGCUCCUGUAGCAAAAUUCAGGUCUCUCUCUUCACCCCAGGCAAACAACACACAAGAUAAGGAUACCCUAAUAAUCAUCGUAUCUUGAAAUUUCCUGAUAAGAAAAUCCAACAAGUUGUUUACCAUGCAAAGGUUAAAAUCUUUUGAUCUGAGCUGAAAAUAGAACACAUUUACCACCAACAAAAAAACACCCAAAACAAUCUAGACAUCUUAAUUCCAAGCCAGUUUUACCUUGGUGGGGGGGGUGUGUGUAGUCACCACCAUGCUUUUCACAAACAGAUAUAUAAGUCACUUGUGCAGUUACUAUUUCAUGUUCUUUUUUAUAACAUGCCCUCAUAUUGGGGAUUUAAGAAAUACUGCACUUAACCAUGAUUAUUACCUUUUCUGUUUUCACUAAUUAUCCAAGGUACGUGUUACAAGUUCUCUCUCAACCUCUUUCCAUACUUAAUCCUGCACUGAAGUCAUAAUUGAGGCUAUCUUCUCAUAAUGAUGAAGGGACAGAAAAGAUCUUUUGUAAGUGGCUAGCUGUCCAAAUUGAUUUUAAUGUUGCUGAUAUUUAAUUGUAUUGUUAAUGUUGCAUUAGGGUGAUGAGAGCCUUGGAUAAGCAUCUUCUUAGCUAUUUAAAAAUUGAAAAAUAAAUAGAAAUGCAAUAAUUUCUGAAACACUAAACUGAUGUGUUGUAGUAGAAUUAUGCCUUCAAUGCAGGGUCCAGUAGAAGCCAGAUUACGGAAGAAUCUUUUUAAUCAAACACACACACACACACACAAAGCCUUUCACCAGGAUCCUGGAAAAUCAUAAAGAUGCCAUCAGGUUUCUUGGUUUUGCUCAACAGAGUCAUUUAUCAUGGCUGUCUGACUUUAAAAAGAACCCUUAAUAGGGUCAACAUAGGCCCAAAAUAUAUGUUUGUGAAGAUAUUUUAACAAAACCUUAAAAAAAGCCACCAAUAGAAGUGUUUCUAUGAAUUGAUUGGAACUGGAACUCAUUUGCAUUUAAACAUUCCUUUCAAGCAUUUGCUUCCAAAACAUUUCAGUGCUGUGCAUUAAAAACAGAACAUGAAACUGACUAGGAACAGCCUCAAUCUACUUCAACUGCCAAUGUGAGCGAUAUACAAGCUGCCAGGAAACCAUGGCAAAAGAAUAAAUUUUAUUUUUGAGAUGACUAUUUUGGAUGGGAUAUUAAAAGGAGUUUGAGGGAGUUAGGUAUUCAUCUCACAUUGAAAUUCAAUAAGAUUUGAGUGCCUAGCACCCUUAAGGUUCUUUUGAAAACCCCAGUUUUGAGCUCUAAUAAUUUUGAGUGUUAAAAUUAUGACUGCUUAAUUGUCUCUAUAUGGCUGUAAUUUAUAACUGAAUAUAAGCAAUGCGUGAACAUGUUCUAAUGCUAACAAAGCUUUUUAAAAGCUUACACAGUAGUGCAGACUUGAAGAAAAAUCCUAACCAUUUAGCUAAAAACCUCUCAAUUCCAUUUCUAAACAUGUAUCUGUAUUUAAAUCAGCCAUCUCCUGUUGAAUCCUGCAGUGGAGUCAAUUUUAUUUUAAGGUUGUUACAUCAAACACUGCAGUUAC
Chelonoidis abingdonii (Abingdon island giant tortoise) is the source of this 1692-nucleotide non-coding RNA. The record is from RefSeq and is a predicted model, not a curated record. NCBI's taxonomy places the organism in Eukaryota, Metazoa, Chordata, Testudines, Testudinidae.